RNAcentral lists this ribosomal RNA (280 nucleotides) under uncultured Lachnospiraceae bacterium. RNAcentral describes it as "partial 16S ribosomal RNA". It matches the Rfam family "Bacterial small subunit ribosomal RNA", at positions 67 to 339 of the family's 1533-position model. Lineage: Bacteria; Bacillati; Bacillota; Clostridia; Lachnospirales; Lachnospiraceae. The record is from RNAcentral.
CUUUGAUUUCUUCGGGAUGAAGAGCUUAGUGACUGAGCGGCGGACGGGUGAGUAACGCGUGGGUAACCUGCCUCAUACAGGGGGAUAACAGUUAGAAAUGACUGCUAAUACCGCAUAAGGCCACAGCACCGCAUGGUGCAGGGGUAAAAACUCCGGUGGUAUGAGAUGGACCCGCGUCUGAUUAGGUAGUUGGCGGGGUAACGGCCCACCAAGCCGACGAUCAGUAGCCGGCCUGAGAGGGUGAACGGCCACAUUGGGACUGAGACACGGCCCAAACUCC